AUUGAACGCUGGCGGAAUGCUUUACACAUGCAAGUCGAGCGGCAGCGCGGGGCAACCUGGCGGCGAGCGGCGAACGGGUGAGUAACACAUCGGAACGUACCCAGUUGUGGGGGAUAGCCCGGCGAAAGCCGGAUUAAUACCGCGUACGACCUGAGGGUGAAAGGGGGGGAUCGCAAGACCUCUCGCAGUUGGAGCGGCCGAUGGCGGAUUAGCUAGUUGGUGGGGUAAAGGCCUACCAAGGCGACGAUCCGUAGCGGGUCUGAGAGGACGGCCCGCCACACUGGAACUGAGACACGGUCCAGACUCCUACGGGAGGCAGCAGUGGGGAAUUUUGGACAAUGGGGGCAACCCUGAUCCAGCCAUUCCGCGUGAGUGAAGAAGGCCUUCGGGUUGUAAAGCUCUUUCGGCAGGAACGAAACGGUGGAGGCUAAUACGAUCUGCUAAUGACGGUACCUGAAGAAGAAGCACCGGCUAACUACGUGCCAGCAGCCGCGGUAAUACGUAGGGUGCGAGCGUUAAUCGGAAUUACUGGGCGUAAAGCGUGCGCAGGCGGUUUUGUAAGACAGAUGUGAAAUCCCCGGGCUUAACCUGGGAACUGCGUUUGUGACUGCAAGACUCGAGUGUGGCAGAGGGGGGUGGAAUUCCACGUGUAGCAGUGAAAUGCGUAGAGAUGUGGAGGAACACCGAUGGCGAAGGCAGCCCCCUGGGUCAACACUGACGCUCAUGCACGAAAGCGUGGGUAGCAAACAGGAUUAGAUACCCUGGUAGUCCACGCCCUAAACGAUGCCAACUAGGUGUUGGGGAAGGAGACUUCCUUAGUACCGUAGCUAACGCGUGAAGUGGCCGCCUGGGA
This 853-nucleotide ribosomal RNA is filed under the name uncultured bacterium. RNAcentral describes it as "bacterial SSU rRNA". It matches the Rfam family "Bacterial small subunit ribosomal RNA", at positions 28 to 878 of the family's 1533-position model. The record is from RNAcentral.